UCUCCGUUGGUGAACCAGCGGAGGGAUCAUUACAGGACUCGCAAGACUCCUAUAACCCUGUGAACUUACUACAAAGCACGUUGCUUCGGCGGGUGUCUCCGGGUGUUUUUCCCCUCGGAAGCGCUAAGCCCGCCGGCAGCCUACUAAAUUCUGUCUCUUUGCGUUGGCAUCUCGAGUACAAACAAAUAAGUUAAAACUUUCAACAACGGAUCUCUUGGUUCUG
This 223-nucleotide unclassified non-coding RNA is filed under the name plant metagenome. Its description in RNAcentral is "partial contains small subunit ribosomal RNA, internal transcribed spacer 1, and 5.8S ribosomal RNA". The record is from RNAcentral.